AAAUAUAAAACAUUAUCCCUAGCAUUUAAUUGAUACAUAAUAUUCAUAAGGCCAUACAUUGGCCAUCAAAGCGGCUUCGUACUUAACAACCCUUAAUACAAGUUCAAAUGGCACAGCUUGCCUACAUACAUAACUAGACCAAACACAUGUAGAAGCUCACAACAAACGCAGCGUAGUGGACAUAUUGGGUGGAGACCUACUGAAUGCCAAAAUUGGUUUGUCACUAUACGACCUUUGCCAUACAUUGUUCAGUGACCUAUUUAUCUGCACAUAAUACAAAAUGGGUGAGUCAUCUAAUAUUCAGUGAGGGAUGUAGAUAAAUCAAAAUUAUAUAUAUAUACAUAUAUAUAUAUAUACAUAUAUAUAUAUAUAUACAAACAAUUAUUUAAAGUAGAACCAGUGCAACCAAACAUUCUAGCAAACAUCUCCAAUGUUAGGGGAAAUCAUCAUCCUUAAGGAGUCCCCAUAGAUAUCAUACAUAUGAAUGGGCUUGUUCUCAUAGCCAUACAAAGUUAUCCUCCUCGACACACUCUAGUCAUCAGAGUAUCAUAUUAGAUUCAGAUCAAAUUUGUCUAAGCCUAUUCGAGGCUAUCUCAUGUUGUACACCAAUCAAAUUAUAAUCAUAGAGUGGUUCUCCCUUGCACAUCAUCAAAUCAUGCACGGUGGCCGAUCGACAUAAACAAAUCACGCUCAAGGCAAAGUCGUUUGUCGAGAACAAAUUAUGCGCGUGCCAAAACAACGAGCUAAGAAAUAGAAUCAUUGAUCGGAGUAAUCUCCUUACGGUCAGCAUCACUCAGAGUAUUCUCAAACGGGUGGCAUUAAAGCACUAUAAGGUGAAAUCACAAGCGAGACAAAUACCACUGUCCUUACUUACCAUUAUCCCUGUAGGCAUAGAACAAAGUCACAAAUGGCAGACUCCACUUAACCUCAAAUCAAAUCAAUGUCCGAAAUUCAUCCAUCGGACGAAACACAUAUCCCCAAAUAAAGCCAUCAUGCCUUUAACAUUCCAUAUGUCCACAUCAAAUCAUAAAUCACAUUUUACUAGCUUCAAAUUAUCUAUAAGCUUGAUAUGGUUCUAAGUGCCUCUAAGUCUUUGAGGCAUCAAAUGCUCACAAUUCAUCAAAGGAAUCAAUUGACUAGGGUAAUCUACUUCUAGAUGUUCAUCGUAUCCUCUAAACUUUCUAGUCUAGGCUCACACAAUCAACAUAUGCCACCUAUGUAGCUUGCACUAAGACACAUAAUCACACACAAUUCCACAUUUUGUUCUCUAGCCUAGAUACAUACAUCUAGACAAACAUAUAUAUUUACAUAUAUAAUCUAUUCUAGUACCAUGGCAGUGCCUCUAAGAGGCGUUAUGCAUCACAUUCAUUUUAAUUAAAACCCAUUCAUAGUGACAAAUUAGAAGUGCUCCCACCGACAAAUUCAACUUUAACCUCUAAUCAUCCUUUAGCUUACUAAUGAAUUGAUUACUCAAUUUCCCUUUUAGAACACAUCAAAAUAUCCAAAUAUUAAUUAAAUCUUCCCUUUCGAAAAAUGUUCAAUUUUCUAAAAAUAAUCAAAUUCUUAGCAAUCCAACAUUUAAGCUGAAAUCCUUCUUUAAUGAGCUAAACCCAUAUCUUAGAAGCUAGAUUGCAUGAAUCUAAGCUUCAAAUUCUAGCAAAAUUAGGGGAGAUUCACCAAAGUUGGAAAAAUAGAAUUUCUAAGUAUUUAACCAAUUAAAUUGAAAACUAAUCGAUAAAAAUAUUUAAUCUUACCUCAAUAACGUUAAGAUCAGAUUAGCUCCAAAUUGCUCAAAAAAUCCAUUUGGGGCUUAGGGUCUCAAAUUGGUAGAGAAAGAGAGGGAGAGUUAAGGUUUUUGUUUUAAAUGGGAAAAUGACCUAGACCCUUUUAUUUUUGCCUUUCCUCAGUGAUGUAUCGAUACAUGUGGGAAUGUAUUGAUACAUUUACAUAUAUUUUGAUCAAAUCUAUCGAUACACUAUGCAAUGUAUCGAUAGAUUUCAGCCAUAAUGCUCGCUACCUUAAAUGUAUCGAUACAUGAGGGAAUGUACCUAUAUUUUUUUUCCUAGUUGCUUUCUGCUUCAAGUCUAUUGAUACAUUUGGACAAUGUAUUGAUAAAUGUUCAUCUUACCAUGAAUGUAUUGAUACAUUCCUGUCACGACCUGAUUUCCAAGCCGUGACCGGCGCAUGGACUCAAUGGACGUAGUCCAUGAAGCCCAAGCAAACCUAUCUGUAUUAUCCUGCUCAUUAUUCCAUCAAAGUUACUGAAGUCACAUUUCGUAAUUUCAAACCAAAAAAAUGCUAACCAUUUCCGACUUUUAGUGGCAUACCAAUCCAAAUAUACAUACAUUGUCUAAAAUAUAUGUCUUAACAAUUUACAUCAGGUUUGUCUAUACAUAUAAAAAAGAAGACUCAAUUUGUAACGAAGAGACUCAGACGAAUUUAUUGAAUGCCAAGACACCUACCAAGGGUCGAAUAUAUGAAGACACCUCGACCUAGUUACCAGCUGCCUCUUGAUCUGAAAAUAUGAAGUUGAAAAUGAUGAGUAUAAACCCAGUGAGUGAACAUAUGAAGGGAACAAGCAAUAUAAUAAGGAGAAGUUUGAAAUCAUAAUGCACUUAUUUGAAAACGAUGUACUUUAGCUUAAGUCCUUAUUAAAACCCUCAAUUAAACCCUUGGUUGAUAAAUCAUGUGACGAUAGAGAAUUUGUAUUUAACAUGAAAUUGGAGAAGUGGAAAAUAUGGCAAAAACCAGCCAAAUGAUAAGUGGAAUAGAAAGUUUCAUUCUCGCUGUAACUAGAAAUAGAGCAACAAGAAAGACUUCCUUUCAUCCCAAAUUAACCAUUUCACUACAAUGCAAAUCAAUUUGGAACACUAAAAAAAUGCUCAAGGUUCAGCAAGUAGGAUUUCACAUACAUUAUAAUCACACAUGUUAUUCUUAAAAUCUUUAUUGCAUUAAUACAUGUGAACAUAUGCAAACAUAUAUGUAUAUAUAUACAUCCACCGCCUCCCCAGCUCAUGUGCAUCCCCCCACAUCGUGCACAUAGCUGGAGUCAUCGUGUGCAUUCCCCUACAUCGUACACAUCUAAUGCCGUCGUGUACAUCCCCCCACAUCGUGCACACGGGCAAUAUCAUUAUCUGCUUACCUCACCACCGUCAUUACAAGUAUGUGCAUCCCGUCACAUCGUGCACACACACGGUUAUAUCCAUUACACAAUAUUAUCUACCAAUGUACUAUACAUAUAUAUAUAUAUAUAUAUAUAUCAACAUUAUACCAAAACACAUGGAUUCAUCACACUUUCCAUUUCUCAACAUAAAAACAUUUCAUAAAGGCUUGUUCCUGAGCAUUUUUUUUUUAAAGAGAAUUGGAUAAAUCAUUCAAAAUAUUUGUCCAAAUACAUUCACAUAUCCCAAAAUAGUUUUGACAUGCAAGUUCACUCACCUAUCUUUAUUGAUUCUUAAAGCAGCUCCAACUUCCACUAAUGCCCCGAAUGGUGAUGUGGGGUUUCAGUAGAGCAUAUCACACAUUAGCAUCACAAUCAACUCAAUCACAUAACUAUAAUUCUAAAAGCUAUCUCCUAAAUCAUGUUCCACUAGUUAUUCCUAACUAGCAUCCAACUACCAUCAAGUGGCUAUUUAUUUGCACUAUUAUAAUCACACCAAAUGAAUAAACUACCUUAACUACAAAACACUCAUAAAUCUAACUAUUAAUCAUUCUCAACAACUAAAAUAUCAACUCAAUUUCAAUGCUCACCUUGCUAGAUUUGCAAUUGAAUAUCUCCUCAAGAAUUCCCAAACUAUUAUAGAAGGUCUUUCUUUCUCUUUCUAAAACCCUAGUUAGUGAGAGAAAGUAUUGAUCUAAGACAUUUCAAGGGUUUUAAGGUGAAAGAGUGAAAAAGCAUAAGAGGUUCUAUAAAAAAUGCACAAAAGCAUGAAAAUGAAGGCUAACUUGAGAGAGUUAUGAAAGCUUGAAGAGUACUCCCAUGGAAGGUGAAGAAAUGUGGGAUAGAAGGAAGAAGAAGAAGAUGAAG
RNAcentral lists this long non-coding RNA (4027 nucleotides) under Theobroma cacao (cacao). Its description in RNAcentral is "long non-coding RNA (TCAC_LNC001123)". The record is from RNAcentral. Lineage: Eukaryota; Viridiplantae; Streptophyta; Magnoliopsida; Malvales; Malvaceae.